This is a long non-coding RNA of Tachysurus vachellii, 270 nucleotides long. RefSeq lists it as uncharacterized. The transcript has 2 exons. Lineage: Eukaryota; Metazoa; Chordata; Actinopteri; Siluriformes; Bagridae. The record is from RefSeq and is a predicted model, not a curated record.
UGUUUUGAAUUAGACCUCUAGGGGGCGCUGAGGUGGAGCUGAUUGUUCAGUAGCAGCAGGCUGUGUGUGGUGGUGCAGUCACUAGCUGAUGGAGCUGCAAUUCAUACUUACCUGGCAGGGGAGAUACCAUGAUCAAGAAGGUGGUUCACCCAGGGCGAGGCUCAGCCAUUGCACUCCGGCUGUGCUGACCCCUGCGAAUUCCCCAAAUGUGGGAAUCUCGACUGCAUAAUUUCUGGUAGUGGGGGACUGCGUUCGCGCUCUCCCCUGAUA